GACCCAAUAUGGCAUCGUGGUUUGACCAUUAGACUGAGACUCUGGAGACCAGGGUUCAAUUCCCAGCUCGGCCA
This is a non-coding RNA of Phrynosoma platyrhinos (Desert horned lizard), 74 nucleotides long. Lineage: Eukaryota; Metazoa; Chordata; Lepidosauria; Squamata; Phrynosomatidae. The record is from the annotation of a GenBank genome assembly.